RNAcentral lists this ribosomal RNA (1584 nucleotides) under Triticum aestivum (bread wheat). RNAcentral describes it as "partial small subunit ribosomal RNA". The record is from RNAcentral. Lineage: Eukaryota; Viridiplantae; Streptophyta; Magnoliopsida; Poales; Poaceae.
AUGGCACCGCCCGCCAUGGCGUUCCAGGCGCUCACCUUCUCGCCCCUCCCCCUCCACCUCCACGCCACGCGGCGCCGGGUCCGCGUGCUCUCCGUGGCGGCCGACCAGACCCCUCCGCCCCCGCAGGCCUCCCCCUCCGAGCCGGCGAACAGCCCGAGCCGGCUCCUCCGGGAGCUCGCGCAGCGGAAGAAGGCCGUCUCGCCCAAGAAGAAGCACCCGCCGCGGCGGUUCAUCCUCAAGCCGCCGCUCGACGACGAGCGCCUCACCCAGCGGUUCCUCAACAGCCCGCAGCUGUCGCUCAAGUCGCUCCCGCUGCUCUCCUCCUGCCUCCCCUCGUCGCCGCUCUCCGCCGCCGACCGCACCUGGAUGGACGAGUACCUCCUCGAGGCCAAGCAGGCGCUCGGCUAUCCGCUCGCCCCCUCAGAGACGCUCGGCGAGGGCGACGACUGCCCCGCGGUCCACUUCGACGUCCUCCUCUACCUCGCCUUCCAGCACCUGGACCCCUCCUCCGAGCGCACGCGGACGCGCCACGUGCGGAACGGCCACUCCAGGCUGUGGUUCCUGGGCCAGUUCGUGCUGGAGCUCGCCUUCUGCGAGUUCUUCCUGCAGAGGUACCCCAGGGAGUCCCCUGGCCCAAUGCGGGAGCGGGUGUUCGCGCUCAUCGGGAAGAAGAUGCUGCCCAAAUGGAUCAAGGCGGCGAGCCUGCAUAAUUUGGUGUUUCCUUACGACGAUUUGGAUAAGAUGAUACGCAAGGACAGGGAACCGCCCACGAAGGCUGUGUUCUGGGCAUUAUUUGGAGCUAUAUAUCUGUGCUUUGGAAUGCCUGAAGUCUAUCGUGUUCUCUUUGAGGCGUUCGGGAUGGACCCUGAAGAAGAGAGCUGUCAGCCAAAACUGCGGCGUCAACUAGAAGACGUUGAUUAUGUUUCAGUGGAGUUUGAAAAGAGACAACUCGCAUGGCAAGAUGUUGCUGCCUACCGGCCACCAGCGGAUGCUCUUUUUGCUCAUCCUAGGCUUUUCCGGGCAUGUGUGCCACCAGGCAUGCAUCGUUUCAGAGGGAACAUUUGGGAUUUUGAUAAUAGACCCAAAGUCAUGAACAUCCUAGGAUAUCCCUUGCCGGCGAAUGAUAAAAUUCCAGAAAUUACAGAAGCAAGGAAUAUAGAACUUGGACUUGGCCUCCAGCUGUGCUUCAUGCAUCCCUCAAAGUACAAGUUUGAGCAUCCAAGAUUUUGUUUUGAGCGUCUGGAAUAUGUUGGCCAGAAGAUUCAGGAUCUAGUAUUGGCAGAAAGGCUGCUCAUGAAGCAUCUCGACGCGCCUGGCAGGUGGCUGUCAGAGAAGCAUAGGAGGUUGCUGAUGAACAAGUAUUGCGGGCGGUACCUGCGGGACAAGCACCUUCACCACUACAUUAUAUACGGGGAGACUGUACAGGACAGAUUCGAACACAACCGCCGGCUGAGAAAUCCUUCCACGACUGCCGUCCAGCAAGCGAUACAUGGGCUCUCGUACUGCGUCUACGGCAAACCUGAUGUGCGGCGCUUGAUGUUCGAGGUGUUUGACUUUGAGCAGGUCCAGCCGAAAGCUGUAUGA